UACAGAGGGGGCAAGCGUUGCCCGGAUUUAUUGGGCGUAAAGAGCGUGUAGGCGGCCGCACAGGUCCGUUGUGAAAACUGGAGGCUUAACCUCCAGACGUCGAUGGAAACCGUGCGGCUAGAGUCCGGAAGAGGAGAAUGGAAUUCCUGGUGUAGCGGUGAAAUGCGCAGAUAUCAGGAAGAACACCCGUGGCUAAGGCGGCUCUCUAGUACGGUACUGACGCUGAGACGCGAAAGCGUGGGGAGCGAACAGG
This 253-nucleotide ribosomal RNA is filed under the name uncultured bacterium. Its description in RNAcentral is "partial 16S ribosomal RNA". It matches the Rfam family "Bacterial small subunit ribosomal RNA", at positions 524 to 776 of the family's 1533-position model. The record is from RNAcentral.